GACGAACGCUGGCGGCGUGCUUAACACAUGCAAGUCGAGCGGUAAGGCCCUUUCGGGGGUACACGAGCGGCGAACGGGUGAGUAACACGUGGGUGACCUGCCCUCAGCUCUGGGAUAAGCCUGGGAAACCGGGUCUAAUACCGGAUAUGACUCCAUGACGCAUGUUGUGGGGUGGAAAGCCCUGUGCGGCUGAGGAUGGGCCCGCGGCCUAUCAGCUUGUUGGUGGGGUGAUGGCCUACCAAGGCGACGACGGGUAGCCGGCCUGAGAGGGCGACCGGCCACACUGGGACUGAGACACGGCCCAGACUCCUACGGGAGGCAGCAGUGGGGAAUCUUGCGCAAUGGGCGAAAGCCUGACGCAGCGACGCCGCGUGAGGGAUGACGGCCUGG
RNAcentral lists this ribosomal RNA (390 nucleotides) under uncultured bacterium. RNAcentral's name for it is "bacterial SSU rRNA". It matches the Rfam family "Bacterial small subunit ribosomal RNA", at positions 28 to 419 of the family's 1533-position model. The record is from RNAcentral.